Molecule: ribosomal RNA, 1324 nt
Filed under: metagenome
Description: bacterial LSU rRNA
Rfam family: Bacterial large subunit ribosomal RNA
Source: RNAcentral
AAAGCUUGGUUGCCCGUACCGCAAACCGACACUGGUAGGUGGGUCGAGUAGACCAAGGCGACCGGAAGAACCCUCGUUAAGGAAUUAGGCAAAAUAACCUCGUAACUUCGGGAGAAGAGGUGUCUCCUGGCGUGAAUUCAAUCCGAAGGAGCGCUGGGGGAUCGCAGUGAAAUGGCUCUAGUGACUGGUUAACUAAACCACAGGUCUCUGCUAAGCUGCAAGGCGAAGUAUAGGGGCUGACACCUGCCCAGUGCCGGAAGGUUAAGGGGAGAGGUUAGGCGCAAGCCGAAGCUUUGAACCGAAGCCCCGGUGAACGGCGGCCGUAACUAUAACGGUCCUAAGGUAGCGAAAUUCCUAGUCGGGUAAGUUCCGACCCGCACGAACGGUGUAACAACUGGAGUACUGUCUCAACGAGGGAUCCGGCGAAAUUGAAAUGGCAGUGAAGAUGCUGCCUACCCGCAGUAGGACAAAAAGACCCCGUGGAGCUUUACUACACUUUGGCAUUGUGUUAGAACUUCGUCUGCGUAGCAUAGGUGGGAGGCUUAGAACCUGGGCUUCUGGGCUCGGGGGAGCCGCAAUGUGAAAUACCACCCUGAUGAAGUUUUGACCCUAACCUCAGACCGUAAACCGGCUGGGGGACCGUGCCAGACGGGUAGUUUGACUGGGGCGGUCGCCUCCCAAAGGGUAACGGAGGCGCCCAAAGGUUCGCUCAGGCUGAAUGGAAACCAGCCGCAGAGUGUAAAGGCACAAGCGAGCUUGACUGCAAGGCCAAUACGCCGAGCAGAGACGAAAGUCGGGCUUAGUGAUCCCACGGUUCAGAGUGGAAUGGCCGUGGCUUAUCAGACAAAAGCUACCCCGGGGAUAACAGGCUGGUGAGAUCCAAGAGUUCACAUCGACGAUCUCGCUCGGCACCUCGAUGUCGGCUCAUCGCAUCCUGGGGCUGUACAAGGUCCCAAGGGUUGGGCUGUUCGCCCAUUAAAGCGGUACGUGAGCUGGGUUCAGACCGUCGUGAGACAGGUCGGUCUCUAUCAACUGUGGGCGUAGGGGACUUGAGGAAGCCUGUCCUUAGUACGAGAGGACCGGGAUGGACGAACCUCUGGUGUGUCGGUUGUCGCGCCAGCGGCAUGGCCGAGUAGCUACGUUCGGUUGAGAUAACCGCUGAAUGCAUCUAAGUGGGAAACUCGUUCCAAGAUUAAGUCCCCCAUGGCGUAAGCCAGUAAGACCGCAGGUAGACGACCUGCUAUAUAGGCGUCCGCGUGUAAACUUUCAAGCCGCAAGGCAAGGGGUGAGCGUAGGCGUCCUAAUCGGUCGAGGGCUUAGUCCA